AUUGAACGCUGGCGGAAUGCUUUACACAUGCAAGUCGAACGAUGAACCUUAGCUUGCUAGGGGGAUUAGUGGCAAACGGGUGAGUAACAUAUCGGAACGUACCUAGUUAUGGGGGAUAACUAGUCGAAAGAUUAGCUAAUAUCGCAUACGACCUGAGGGGGAAAGUAGGGGAUCUUCGGACCUUACGUUAUUAGAGCGGCCGAUAUCUGAUUAGCUAGUUUGUGGGGUAAAGGCCUACCAAGGCGACGAACAGUAGCUGGUCUGAGAGGACGACCAGCCACACUGGAACUGAGACACGGUCCAGACUCCUACGGGAGGCAGCAGUGGGGAAUUUUGGACAAUGGGGGCAACCCUGAUCCAGCCAUUCCGCGUGAGUGAAGAAGGCCUUCGGGUUGUAAAGCUCUUUCGCAAGGGAAGAAAACUUACAUUCUAAUAAAGUGUGCGGCUGACGAUACCUUGAUAAGAAGCACCGGCUAACUACGUGCCAGCAGCCGCCGCAG
Molecule: ribosomal RNA, 500 nt
Filed under: uncultured bacterium
Lineage: Bacteria
Description: partial 16S ribosomal RNA
Rfam family: Bacterial small subunit ribosomal RNA
Source: RNAcentral